RNAcentral lists this ribosomal RNA (490 nucleotides) under Bacillus sp. mrc49. RNAcentral's name for it is "bacterial LSU rRNA". It matches the Rfam family "Bacterial large subunit ribosomal RNA", at positions 2437 to 2925 of the family's 2925-position model. Lineage: Bacteria; Bacillati; Bacillota; Bacilli; Caryophanales; Bacillaceae. The record is from RNAcentral.
AAGGGCCAUCGCUCAACGGAUAAAAGCUACCCCGGGGAUAACAGGCUUAUCUCCCCCAAGAGUCCACAUCGACGGGGAGGUUUGGCACCUCGAUGUCGGCUCAUCGCAUCCUGGGGCUGUAGUCGGUCCCAAGGGUUGGGCUGUUCGCCCAUUAAAGCGGUACGCGAGCUGGGUUCAGAACGUCGUGAGACAGUUCGGUCCCUAUCCGUCGCGGGCGCAGGAAAUUUGAGAGGAGCUGUCCUUAGUACGAGAGGACCGGGAUGGACGCACCGCUGGUGUACCAGUUGUCUUGCCAAAGGCAUAGCUGGGUAGCUACGUGCGGACGGGAUAAGUGCUGAAAGCAUCUAAGCAUGAAGCCCCCCUCAAGAUGAGAUUUCCCAUGGCGCAAGCUAGUAAGAUCCCUGAAAGAUGAUCAGGUUGAUAGGUCAGAGGUGGAAGCGUGGCGACAUGUGGAGCUGACUGAUACUAAUAGAUCGAGGACUUAACCAAC